RNAcentral lists this long non-coding RNA (300 nucleotides) under Manihot esculenta (cassava). RNAcentral's name for it is "long non-coding RNA (MESC_LNC009517)". Lineage: Eukaryota; Viridiplantae; Streptophyta; Magnoliopsida; Malpighiales; Euphorbiaceae. The record is from RNAcentral.
GGGUUUUAUUGCUUUCGAUUUGAUUUUAAUUUAGUUUAAUUAAAUUAAAUUUAACGAUUAUUUAAAAAAAAUUAAUUCAAUUGAAAAUGGAAAUAACGAUUUUAGUCAAAUUUCAAUUUACAAGAUCGAAUUCCGGAUCUGUUUCAACUGUGAACAGCCUCGCGGUCAGACCUAUUUGUCGGUAGAACCGCCGUGUGUGUUGGCCUUCUUCUACUCUUCCUGUCCUUCACCAGCUGUUCUCAUUACUAUUUCAUAGUAUUAUUUUGAAUUCCACGGUGGCUGCCGACCAUGCGGGGAACG